AUGGAGCCGACCUUGAAAUACCACCCUUUAAUGUUUGAUGUUCUAACGUUGACCCGUAAUCCGGGUUGCGGACAGUGUCUGGUGGGUAGUUUGACUGGGGCGGUCUCCUCCUAAAGAGUAACGGAGGAGCACGAAGGUUGGCUAAUCCUGGUCGGACAUCAGGAGGUUAGUGCAAUGGCAUAAGCCAGCUUGACUGCGAGCGUGACGGCGCGAGCAGGUGCGAAAGCAGGUCAUAGUGAUCCGGUGGUUCUGAAUGGAAGGGCCAUCGCUCAACGGAUAAAAGGUACUCCGGGGAUAACAGGCUGAUACCGCCCAAGAGUUCAUAUCGACGGCGGUGUUUGGCACCUCGAUGUCGGCUCAUCACAUCCUGGGGCUGAAGUAGGUCCCAAGGGUAUGGCUGUUCGCCAUUUAAAGUGGUACGCGAGCUGGGUUUAGAACGUCGUGAGACAGUUCGGUCCCUAUCUGCCGUGGGCGCUGGAGAACUGAGGGGGGCUGCUCCUAGUACGAGAGGACCGGAGUGGACGCAUCACUGGUGUUCGGGUUGUCAUGCCAAUGGCACUGCCCGGUAGCUAAAUGCGGAAGAGAUAAGUGCUGAAAGCAUCUAAGCACG
Molecule: ribosomal RNA, 610 nt
Filed under: Escherichia coli
Lineage: Bacteria; Pseudomonadati; Pseudomonadota; Gammaproteobacteria; Enterobacterales; Enterobacteriaceae
Description: partial 23S ribosomal RNA
Rfam family: Bacterial large subunit ribosomal RNA
Source: RNAcentral